GCCUGGCUUCCCUGGAUGAUGGACUACAAACUGCACCCCUGGCACAUUUCUAUGCACCAAGUCCUCUGAGAAGCACUGGGAAUCCAGAGAAGAUGACACUGUCACUACCUUUAAAGGCCACAUGAUCUUUUAUGGAGAAACUAAGGCUCGAGAUGGGUGGUCCCCUGCAGCUUAUGGGAAAUGAAUGUACAAACUCAGUCCCACGUUUUCUGUUUCCUGUUUUCUUUAUUCCUUUCAGAGAAGCAAUGAGAGGUGAUCUGAGAGAAGUGGAAACUGGCCAUUGCAGUGCCAUGUACAAUCUUCUUAUCAUGGACUUGGGCAGCAAGAAGAUAGACUCCCUUUUGCAGCUCAAAUCAGGAAUCAGAGAGAUGAAAAGCAUAACACAGACUCUAGUGGCCUGAACAAGGCAGGAACAUUAUCAUCAUCUGCCCAAAUUCAACCAAGAGAACUGAAAGGAACUGAAUAAGAUAUAAUGAGGGUUCAUGAAGACAGUAUAUAGAAUUAGGAAGCCAGGAAGCUGGAAGAUAGAUCCAGAGCUAGCUCACCACAGAGGAUCCUGGCGAUGAGU
This 568-nucleotide long non-coding RNA is filed under the name Mus musculus (house mouse). RNAcentral describes it as "predicted gene, 48664". Lineage: Eukaryota; Metazoa; Chordata; Mammalia; Rodentia; Muridae. The record is from RNAcentral.